UAUUGUGGCUGGCUGUGACAUUCUUAAAUGAGAAGUAGACAGGCCUUGUAUAAGAUGCAUUAUACAGUUCUAAUCAAGUAAUUAUGGACAUGUGCAAUUACAGGGCAAGCCCUUUGGUGUGCUAAAUGAUUAAAUGUUGUUAUCUAACCGAAUCACUUGGAACUUCUGUGCAGAAGGUUAUUUUUCCCUUUAAACAAAUAAAUGUCAGCUCAUAACAUAUGACGAUGCUAUCCUAACUGGCUAACUAAUUUGGCUGUAUGAAGUUGUAUAUUUGAGCUGCGGGUGUUUGUUGUAGUGCAUGGAGUUUAUCGUGAUGGCCCUUUUGAGUCUCCCCUUUCUGUUCGAACUUCAACAGAAAACUAACCAAGAUUAUCAGGCAUGAUAUGGUCAGUGUAUUGUGAUGUUAGCAUGCCCCCUGAAGGACUGCGGGAGUUCUUGCCACGCUUAAUACAAACUUUGGUGUCAAACAUGGUCUACACUGACGAUGAUCAAUCACUUGUUGAUGCUGAGGUUUGAAGACGGGCUAGGUUCAAAGUUUUAAGAUGGGCUAGGUUUCACUAGCGUGUGCCAUCGACUUGGUCUCAACCAUCUUAGGGCAACCCGUCGCUCUAGGGAGAUGGCGGUCCCUUUGACGGCCUCCGGGCUCGGCUCAGUGAUUGGGAUCGGUCAUCGUUGCUGGCGGUGAAGGUGGUAUGGAGUUUUGACCAUGGAAGAGCCCGUACAACUCAGAAGGCAAAGUUGGGAAGCUCCUACAAAGAAGUAUCUGUGAUGAGGUAGCUAGCCUGAAAGUGGAUCUACCGCGUGCUGCUCCUGUCCCCUCUCCCUCAAUUCAUCCUCAUGGAUCUGACAAGUGAGCGACGGAGGCUGUGUAUCAUGAGGUCGUUCGGCAUGGAUAGGGCUCGUCAUGCGGCACCGUCCUCCCGACCUCCUUCCCAUCAUAGCCUUAUGGGAAUUGGCUUACAAAGUGAUUCUAUACUUUAAAUUAUACCCUUUCUUAAUAUAUGUGCUUGUCCAUUCAGGUUUAUCUUCGCUUGGAAUUGGUGGAAGCAAUUUUAUCCCCCAUUUUCUUUCUCUAUGUUCUGUUUUCUAAGCAACAUAAGUGGUAUCAAUAAUAUGUGAUACUUGUGCAUUUCUAUCUUUAGGCAGGACAUCCUUUUCACAACAAGAGAUGAAAAUGCUCCUAUUGUACCUUCGCU
This is a non-coding RNA of Triticum urartu, 1196 nucleotides long. The record is from RefSeq and is a predicted model, not a curated record. NCBI's taxonomy places the organism in Eukaryota, Viridiplantae, Streptophyta, Magnoliopsida, Poales, Poaceae.